Long non-coding RNA from Saccostrea cuccullata (small rock oyster), 272 nucleotides. RefSeq lists it as uncharacterized. The record is from RefSeq and is a predicted model, not a curated record. Lineage: Eukaryota; Metazoa; Mollusca; Bivalvia; Ostreida; Ostreidae. The transcript has 3 exons.
UUCAAAAGACCCCCCACUUAAUACAAAUUGUACAGAAUAUGAGCCUCUAUUCGCUACCGUUGAAAUAUGUGAAGUAAGAAUCAUAGGUUGCAGAGCUGGAGCUUACGGGGAAGGUUGCAAACCUUGUCCAUCAAUAUGUCCUAACGAAAGUUGUGAUGCAUUCAAUGGAUCAUGCAGAUAUCAAAAACCAAGUAAUCACAAUGGUUGUUCACAGACACCAAAGACUUUCAUAGUGAUCCUUCUCGCCGUUUCAGCAUUUCUUAUUGUCAUUA